RNAcentral lists this ribosomal RNA (119 nucleotides) under Lepisosteus oculatus (spotted gar). Lineage: Eukaryota; Metazoa; Chordata; Actinopteri; Semionotiformes; Lepisosteidae. The record is from RNAcentral.
GACUGCAGCUAUAUCACUCUGCAACUUACAACUGGCAACCCAUUGAAACCAAGCAGGUGUGAGCCUGGUCAGUACCUGGAUGGGAGACCUCCUGGGAAAUAUUAAGGUUUCUGCUGGAA